Molecule: long non-coding RNA, 305 nt
Filed under: Phaseolus vulgaris (common bean)
Lineage: Eukaryota; Viridiplantae; Streptophyta; Magnoliopsida; Fabales; Fabaceae
Description: long non-coding RNA (PVUL_LNC002223)
Source: RNAcentral
GUAUCCCAACCCAUAUACAGAAACCACAAAAGGACUACCUAUCUCUCCUUUAUGGUUGGAACAAAACAACCUUAAAGUGAGAAAAACAUACCCAAAAAAUACCCAAUCAAGAUAAACCCUGCUCUCGAGGAGGAUCCACUCGGGAAAUCCCCAUCUCAUUGCUCUUAUAAGGUUAACAGACAUCUUUAUCGAACCAGCACAAACCCGGCGAUGUGUCUACCUCAGUAAUUUUCAGUACCUGAUCUUCCGUUCUUCGAAUACGGCAAUGAUACACAACUUCACCGACCACUUCAUGGAGAUCGCCG